RNAcentral lists this ribosomal RNA (460 nucleotides) under uncultured bacterium. RNAcentral's name for it is "partial 16S ribosomal RNA". It matches the Rfam family "Bacterial small subunit ribosomal RNA", at positions 338 to 795 of the family's 1533-position model. The record is from RNAcentral.
CCUACGGGAGGCAGCAGUGAGGAAUAUUGGUCAAUGGACGAGAGUCUGAACCAGCCAAGUAGCGUGAAGGAUGACUGCCCUAUGGGUUGUAAACUUCUUUUAUAUGGGAAUAAAAUGUUCCACGUGUGGGAUUUUGUAUGUACCAUAUGAAUAAGGAUCGGCUAACUCCGUGCCAGCAGCCGCGGUAAUACGGAGGAUCCGAGCGUUAUCCGGAUUUAUUGGGUUUAAAGGGAGCGUAGGUGGAUUGUUAAGUCAGUUGUGAAAGUUUGCGGCUCAACCGUAAAAUUGUAGUUGAAACUGGCAGUCUUGAGUACAGUAGAGGUGGGCGGAAUUCGUUGUGUAGCGGUGAAAUGCUUAGAUAUCACGAAGAACUCCGGUUGCGAAGGCAGUUCACUGGACUGCAACUGACACUGAGGCUCGAAAGUGUGGGUAUCAAACAGGAUUAGAUACCCCUGUAGUC